AUUUCUCCGUGCAAUUAAAAGCAGUUUACGAGAACUGAGAUGGCUCUUUAAGAACUGCAGGAGCUUCAAAGCUCACCUUGAUGAUUUCGUGCUUUGCGUUUUUACAAUCUUAAAUUAGAGCAUGAGCUGAUUUAGCAAUUUAGAUUUAGCAGAGGUUUCAGCGCAGCUUUUUGGACGUUAUUAUACGAGCAACGUAAUGGCGUGUGUCUUCUGGAAAAAAGGGUUGUUAGUUGAGGAAGUUAGUGGAAGGAAGAUAAAGAAAUGAGGGACUAUAAUUUCGACAUAUGAAAAAGUGAUUGUCAGUGUCUAGCUGAAUCUGUGGUGGCUGCUAGCAAGUCACUUCAGUUGCUUCAACACAUUUAGGGAGGUAAAGGUGAUGGAGAACGUUUGCACUCAUCUCACUCGACUGCAACAUGACUUCUUUGCCCCGGGCAGACUCUCCAGUUAGGCAUGAGAAGGGAUGCGUUGAAGAGAUUUUGCCUUUUGGUUCGCGUUCAACGGACCUCAUCGGAAAACUUCGGAGAAAUUUGGAAGAUGGCAUCUGUUAAUGUCACAAAUAUUCAUCUCUGUUUUUCAAUAACCAUUAUCUUUACAUGUCUAUUUCAUAAAAACUGGAAGGAAAACGCCAAUAAAAGGAGCUUAGGUAUAUGUAGAGAUGAACAAGCUCCGGAAAUUGUUCAGAGCAGGGGUUAUUGUAGCUCGCAUGAAGCUGUCAUAUCACCAGCAGUGACGAGGACAACCAAGAAACCUUCAGUUCGGAAUUCAAUCUAGGGCAAUGUGAUAGAAUUGUAGUCUUCCUUGGAAUUUCUGAGAUUCCAGAGUUCUUGAGGUUGGAACCUGGCCUUUAUUUCAGCUUAUGCUACGGUUGAAGAAAGUCAUUAUCAUAUCUGGUUAUGCAUUUAUAUGCUCCUCCACUGUUAGCAAUUGGCAGUGCACAACGAAGCUCUCAGUCUUUGAUUUGCUGCGAUUGUCAGCUUUGCAAAAUGAUACCGUAUCGUCUGAGGAUGCCAUGGAGGAACUAUCACCAUCUGCAAAGGUUUUUUUUGUUAUCUUGGGUGGAAAAUUUUCUCAAUGGAGGGAUCUCGAGAAGACUCAGCGCAUAUGAAGCUAAGUUUGAGCAUAAGCAAUCAAAUAUUGCAGUUGAACGACUCAGAGCUCUGGAAGAAUAUUUUCGAUGAGAUUGAAGAUGAAUCAGGUAAAGAUCGGGAUGUAGAAAUUGAUGCAAGCUCCUCCAUGGCUGUUUUCGACGAGCGAUUCGGAUUAGGACGAAACCGUUGCCUAAAAUCCAGGAAACCUAGAAGCGGCAUCAAUACUAUCAGGGACCUAAAAUUGGCAAGAAUUGGAUUGAGAAUCGCAACAGAUUGCAGUCAUGGUUUGGGAUGUGACAAAAUUUUAUCCACAUACUUGGGAGAGAACGUGAAGGGAAUGGAGCGUGUAAUGCCCCAUCCGAUUGAGUUUCCAUUUUUCCGAGUACGUGAUGUGAAACCACAUGUUCAGCUGGUAGUCACUUUCUGAGCAAUUCGGAGAAAUCCGACAAUGGUGACCACGGCAAACACAAGUAUUUUCUCGUUUUACGUGUUGUAUUUCAUACUUUCUAUUUGCUAAUACCUGACCUCCUGCCAUUUAAACCAUUUUUUAGUUGUGCUCAAGAAGACUGAUGCUAGUAGAGGAUAUUUCGGGCUUUGAGUUUAUUGAUAAGAACAAGUUUAUGUAAAAUUAAACUUUGCAAUACCUAGAAUGGUCCCUACUCA
Molecule: non-coding RNA, 1751 nt
Organism: Physcomitrium patens
Lineage: Eukaryota; Viridiplantae; Streptophyta; Bryopsida; Funariales; Funariaceae
Source: RefSeq, a predicted model, not a curated record